UACGGAGGGUGCAAGCGUUACUCGGAUUUACUGGGCGUAAAGCGCGUGUAGGCGGUUCGAUAAGUCUGGUGUGAAAUCCCUGGACUCAAUCCAGGACGUGCAUUGGAUACUGUCGAACUAGAGUACGGGAGAGGUGAGCGGAAUUCCAGGUGUAGAGGUGAAAUUCGUAGAUAUCUGGAGGAACAACAGAGGCGAAGGCGGCUCACUGGACCGUAACUGACGCUGAUGUGCGAAAGCGUGGGGAGCGAACAGG
Molecule: ribosomal RNA, 253 nt
Filed under: uncultured bacterium
Lineage: Bacteria
Description: partial 16S ribosomal RNA
Rfam family: Bacterial small subunit ribosomal RNA
Source: RNAcentral